This 735-nucleotide ribosomal RNA is filed under the name uncultured bacterium. RNAcentral's name for it is "bacterial SSU rRNA". It matches the Rfam family "Bacterial small subunit ribosomal RNA", at positions 94 to 820 of the family's 1533-position model. The record is from RNAcentral.
AGUGGCGCACGGGUGAGUAACGCGUAGAUAACGUUCCCGUUGGUGAGGGAUAACCUGCCGAAAGGCGGGCUAAUACCACAUAAGUUCUCUUGGGGUUCGCCCUGGGAGAGGAAAGCAGGGCAACUUGCGUCGACGGAUCGAUCUGCGUCCCAUCAGCUAGUUGGUGAGGUAACGGCUCACCAAGGCGACGACGGGUAGCUGGUCUGAGAGGAUGAUCAGCCACACUGGGACUGAGACACGGCCCAGACUCCUACGGGAGGCAGCAGUGGGGAGUAUUGGUCAAUGGGCGCAAGCCUGAACCAGCAAUGCCGCGUGAGUGAUGAAGGCCUUCGGGUUGUAAAGCUCUGUCGGGAGGGACGAAAAAGCCUGGGUAACGCCAGGACUUGACGGUACCUUCAAAGGAAGCACCGGCUAACUCUGUGCCAGCAGCCGCGGUAAUACAGAGGGUGCAAGCGUUGUUCGGAAUUACUGGGCGUAAAGCGCGUGUAGGUGGUUUCAUCAGUCGGACGUGAAAGCCCUCGGCUCAACCGAGGAAGAGCAUCCGAUACUGUGGGACUUGAGUGUCGGAGGGGAUGGUGGAAUUCCCGGUGUAGAGGUGAAAUUCGUAGAUAUCGGGAGGAACACCUGUGGCGAAGGCGACCAUCUGGACGACAACUGACACUGAGACGCGAAAGCGUGGGUAGCAAACAGGAUUAGAUACCCUGGUAGUCCACGCUGUAAACGAUGAGUGCUAGA